CCGGCCCAGGCCCAAAUAGAAGAAGUAAAGCAUGAGGGUUGAUUCGGCCAAUAUAUAUAAUAGUGACAGUGCCUUUCUGUUUUUACCACCGUCUCCUCUCCUCUCCUAUCGGACAGAGGUGAGUGAGUGCGGUGGUUGUUGGUGGCUUCGAUGGCAUUUAUUGAGUGAGGCGGUGAUGGAUGUUGACGUGUCCUGGCGAGGUGUUUCUGUUGACGCAGCCAUGGACACUGUUUCUCUCUUUUUGUUCUGAGUCUUACUUACUCACUCACUCUCUUACCUUUUGUUGCAUGCUAUCUAAUCUUUAAGUGUGGGAGGCAUCGCAUACAUCAUCUCAGAUCUUGCAAUUGCCGAUGAUCCUUUAUGAAGAAUGAGAUGCUGAUAUUUGGUGACAAUCUAUCUCCAAAAAAAGUCCUUAAUAUGUAGGUAGAAAUAAAAAAUGAUUCUGUCUCUAUUACUACACAUUUCUUAGUACUACAAACAAUGUCAAACAAUUCCAAGUUGAUUUGGGACUGCUGUACACUAUCAAUUUCUAUCAUCAAAUUUGUUUAAAAAAAAUUUAAGUAAUGUUUAUGAUAACCAUUUAAAAAUGGUAGAGAUUGUAGUUUCAAGGUGUGUGCAAAGCAAGUUCUUCAUAGAAUUUUAUGGACGGAAGAUAAACAGGCAGAUAAGGGAAGACCAAAAGACAAAAGGGUUAUGAUAUUCUAGUUCCAAUAAAGUUUUAACUAUAAAAUUUUAUCUUAGUUUUUUAAAAUUAGAACAUCUGUAUUCACCAUAAAUAUAUUGUUCACUUGUUAAUAGAAAAAUGUCAACUUAUGUCAAUUUAUUUUUAAUAUCCUACCUAAUGAGUUAUUAGUACUAUUUUACCAAGACAUGUAGUGAAGCAAAAUUAUUUAAUUUUGAAAAACUAAAGAACAAACUUUGUUAUUAGAAGUUUCGUAAAAAUCAAAUCAAAUCAAAUGAUUAAGCUUAUUUAUAUACUAUUUUGUGGACAGAACUAUAAUUUAGUGAAAUUUUAAAUUAUAUAUGAUGUUGAUCAAUUCAGUUUUAAAAAUAUAUUGAAUUAUUAUCAAAUUAUAUUUGGUGAUAAGUUCCUACAGUUAUUAGCAUGGGUAUCAUGACCAAGAUAAUAAAAAUUGAUAGAUAAUAUAACUGAAUAGAAUUAAAAAAAAAAACAUAUGUUAUUUUUACCUUCAAUAAUAAAUUAACUACAAAAAACAUUGAACUAUUCAUAAUUUUCAUAUAUAGAAAGAUGAAAACAGUUAAAAAUACAAUAGUUUUCUCUUCACCUCAUCGAUCGUCUUCAACAUUUUUCGCAUUCAUUUGGUAUAAAUACAAGUAUGCAUUUCCAUUCAUUAUUCACCUCUGUGUGUUGUAUGAAUAUUUUUUCUCGCAACACACACGGAGGUGCCUCAAAUGGAUUCCAAGAAUAGUACCCAUUGCGAGAGAACAGAGACAAAUCCUACGAUUUUGCUGCAAAAGAGUAUCAUUUUGCUUCUUUCUCGUUGGUAUGCCCUUCAAAUGGCUAUUGAAAAUCAAUGGGCUGGUUCUG
RNA transcript from Vigna angularis (adzuki bean), 1549 nucleotides. RefSeq lists it as uncharacterized. The transcript has 2 exons. Lineage: Eukaryota; Viridiplantae; Streptophyta; Magnoliopsida; Fabales; Fabaceae. The record is from RefSeq and is a predicted model, not a curated record.